Non-coding RNA from Chrysemys picta bellii (western painted turtle), 1160 nucleotides. Lineage: Eukaryota; Metazoa; Chordata; Testudines; Emydidae. The record is from RefSeq and is a predicted model, not a curated record.
CUGCCUUUGCUAGCAAGUGCUCACAUUACAUCAUGCCCCUUGCGGCUGGUGCUGGUCUGCUGCUGCUGUUGGUGUCUCUGAGCCUCGUAUGGACCCUCUGCCCUUCCACUCUAGGAUUCCAGCCCAGGAUCUCAGCACCCCCAGCUUCAGAGGAGCACCAGGGUGGAAUCUUAUACGCUCAUCUGGAUUUUGAUUCGCGGAAUCGCAAGGGGCGCACGAUGCAGCGAUCAGCCAGAGGGAAACAUCUAAAACCCUGAACUGUCUAAUGCAGGGGAAUCCACACGUGGGAACUGAUGUGUAUCAGAUGUAGCAGCUGGAAGAAGGCUCUGUCUGUCUCCGUCUCCUUUCUUUUUUAGUUUCUCCACUUCUCUGUUUAGAAUAAAAAGGUCAGAAGAUCCCCACAGAGUCCAGCCUCGUCAGGUGGGAAAUCUCUUUUUGGGAUAUAAAGGCAUCAGGGUGUAGAUGACUUCACCCAUCACUUGUGUAUUCAAUUGGAAGCUCUUUGGGGCAGGGACUGUCUCUUUGUUCUGUGUUUGUGCUGCACCUAGCACAGAGGGGCCUGGUCCAUAACCGGGGCUCCUGGGUGCUAUGGUAACACAAUCAUCAUCCUCUGCGCAUCUGCAGAGGGACCCGGACACAGCUGAACAGCUGCAGCUUCCCUGCACAGAGAGAGGCCGGACGGCAGGAGCCUGCAGAGGAGACCUGCAGCCCCUGUAUAUGCCACAGCUCCCAGCUCCCCUGAUCCUCAGCUGUAAUGUUACAUGGACGUGCAGUGGGAUUGUGAAGGGGGAGGAUGGAUGCAGGAACUGGGAGGGAUGAGAAUCUCUCCCCAGGCUAGGGCUGGAGCUGCUAUUCCAGUGCUUCCUCUGGAGCAGUGUUUAUCAACAACCAGUCCAUGGUCCGGCGCUGGUCCCUGAGAUCUUCCUGACACAGUUUAGGAAGGCAGCAAGCCGGUCCCUGGUAUCCAAAAGGUUGAGAAACACUCUCUAGAGUCUGCUGCUUUUCCCCAAGGGCGAGAUUCAGAGAGGCCCAUGUGCCAGCCCACGGGCGAGAUUCACAGAGGCCCAUGUGCCAGCCCUUCUGCACCAUCUAACGAUAAUAACACAUUAUCAAUGACUGCAGCUCUCCUGGUGCCUGAGCCUGCACACGCUGCCUGUUUA